CCCAGCCCAUUGACUUAUGUCCACUGUAGUGGACAUUUGAGUUUCAUCCCUCUCCUUGGAAUCUUUUGUGCAAGUCUCUUAAUUCCUGCUGUACUGUACAGAGGACAUCCUGGGCUUUUCAGGGAUAUGUUAUUUGAUUGGCUGGGAGGCCGGGAACCCCCUCAAUCUUUCAAUCCAAAAUGGACGGCAUAGGAACAAGCACAUUUUAUGGAAAGAUAAAAGAUUUGCACCUGUGUUAUUUGGGCUUCCUGUGUGUCAAGAUCAACCUACAACACGUGCAGACUGGAGUCCAAUGGAAUAUUUUUUGAAAACCAAGCAUGCAGAAAGAUGCUCUAAUAAGGGCUACAAGAGUAAGACGUACAUGAGAUGUACUAAAUGCAAGAUUUUCCCAUGCUUUACCAAAAAGAGAAAUUGCUUCCAAGACUAUCACCACAGAACAUACUAAGAACAAAAUGAAAAGUGAAGGAAAAACUAGAUUGGAUUCAGUUUGACAGAAGGAAAAAAAAUCCCCCAAAAAUCAGUUUCACAUUAGUUCUGUGUUCAUUGUUCAAAUAACACUAAAAGGAUUCAAGGGGACCAAUAAAAGGAUACGGACAUAACAAAGUGUUAAGCUUUAAUAGUAAACAUAUACUCGCAAAAUGUAAGGAAAAGGAUUCAAGAAUGAUAAAUGUGUAUAUUGUAUAAUCAAAAUGUCUGUAUUCUUGGAUAAUAGUCAAUUUACAGCCCAAAAUGUAUGUAUUCUUAGUUAAAAAAAACUUUAUAAUCUGGUCAAAUUUGUAUCUACCAAACGUGUUUGUUUUCAUACUCAAAUUAUCCUAUUGUCUACUACAGUGGACAUGCUGUAAAACAAAAAUAAAAAAUAAAAAUAAAAAUGUCUAAA
Carassius gibelio (silver crucian carp) is the source of this 880-nucleotide long non-coding RNA. RefSeq lists it as uncharacterized. The record is from RefSeq and is a predicted model, not a curated record. NCBI's taxonomy places the organism in Eukaryota, Metazoa, Chordata, Actinopteri, Cypriniformes, Cyprinidae. The transcript has 2 exons.